Vicia faba (fava bean) is the source of this 273-nucleotide non-coding RNA. NCBI's taxonomy places the organism in Eukaryota, Viridiplantae, Streptophyta, Magnoliopsida, Fabales, Fabaceae. The record is from the annotation of a GenBank genome assembly.
AUGCAUUUUGUCACAAUUCUGACUAUGACAUGCAUUGACAAGUGGCUUAUUUUUGUUGAAAUUAGGGUGAUCAUGAUUCUAAUAGCAAAGAUCAAUAGUGUGACCUCUCCUAAUACAAAAACUGAAUUGUCUAGUGGAAUUCUUGAAAUGGUAUGGGCUGAUGAGGAACCUGUUGAUCAGAAGAGAUUUCUUGAAGAGUCUUGCAAACCGAAAUGUGUGAGACCGUUACUUGAAUAUCAGGUUGCACCAAAGCUAUUCACACAACUGAAAUAA